This 253-nucleotide ribosomal RNA is filed under the name uncultured bacterium. Its description in RNAcentral is "partial 16S ribosomal RNA". It matches the Rfam family "Bacterial small subunit ribosomal RNA", at positions 524 to 776 of the family's 1533-position model. The record is from RNAcentral.
UACGGGGGGGGCAAGCGUUGUUCGGAAUUACUGGGCGUAAAGGGCUCGUAGGUGGUCAACUAAGUCAGACGUGAAAUCCCUCGGCUUAACCGGGGAACUGCGUCUGAUACUGGAUGGCUUGAGUUCGGGAGAGGGAAGCGGAAUUCCGGGUGUAGCGGUGAAAUGCGUAGAUAUCCGGAGGAACACCGGUGGCGAAGGCGGCUUCCUGGACCGACACUGACGCUGAGGCGCGAAAGCUAGGGGAGCAAACGGG